AUUGAACGCUGGCGGCAUGCCUUACACAUGCAAGUCGAACGGUAACAGGUCUUCGGAUGCUGACGAGUGGCGAACGGGUGAGUAAUACAUCGGAACGUGCCUAGUAGUGGGGGAUAACUACUCGAAAGAGUGGCUAAUACCGCAUGAGAUCUACGGAAGAAAGCAGGGGAUCGCAAGACCUUGUGCUACUAGAGCGGCCGAUGGCAGAUUAGGUAGUUGGUGGGAUAAAAGCUUACCAAGCCGACGAUCUGUAGCUGGUCUGAGAGGACGAUCAGCCACACUGGGACUGAGACACGGCCCAGACUCCUACGGGAGGCAGCAGUGGGGAAUUUUGGACAAUGGGCGCAAGCCUGAUCCAGCAAUGCCGCGUGCAGGAUGAAGGCCUUCGGGUUGUAAACUGCUUUUGUACGGAACGAAAAGCCCCGGGUUAAUACCCUGGGGUCAUGACGGUACCGUAAGAAUAAGCACCGGUUAACUACGUGCCAGCAGCCGCAGUAA
RNAcentral lists this ribosomal RNA (498 nucleotides) under uncultured bacterium. Its description in RNAcentral is "partial 16S ribosomal RNA". It matches the Rfam family "Bacterial small subunit ribosomal RNA", at positions 30 to 523 of the family's 1533-position model. The record is from RNAcentral.